RNAcentral lists this long non-coding RNA (265 nucleotides) under Lathyrus oleraceus (garden pea). RNAcentral describes it as "Pisum sativum (pea) long non-coding RNA (PSAT_LNC031442)". The record is from RNAcentral. Lineage: Eukaryota; Viridiplantae; Streptophyta; Magnoliopsida; Fabales; Fabaceae.
GAGACUUACAAUCUCACUUACUAGAAUGUUAUGCCUUUGGGUCAAAAUUUAGCGCUAUGUUAAGCAAUCGUAAUUGGACUUAUGUAGAAGUGACAAAUAUCUGAGGCGGGGCAAUAGAAAUUUUGGUGGUAAUGCAUGUUAGAGAUGUGAUACAAUGAACCAUACUCCUAAAACAUACCACACAGAAAAAGAAAAAUGAUCAAAAGAUGCACCUAAUCUCAUCCAUACUUGUAUUGGUUCAUCUAACACAAAGUUAUUGAUGAAC